GCGGUGGUGGUGCAAUGGCGGAGAGCAUUCCCGCCCUGUCAGCAGGAGGUGCGGGUUCAAGUCCCGCCUGGCGCU
Molecule: non-coding RNA, 75 nt
Organism: Heligmosomoides polygyrus
Lineage: Eukaryota; Metazoa; Nematoda; Chromadorea; Rhabditida; Heligmosomidae
Source: Rfam